This 469-nucleotide ribosomal RNA is filed under the name uncultured bacterium. Its description in RNAcentral is "partial 16S ribosomal RNA". It matches the Rfam family "Bacterial small subunit ribosomal RNA", at positions 28 to 507 of the family's 1533-position model. The record is from RNAcentral.
GACGAACGCUGGCGGCGUGCUUAACACAUGCAAGUCGAACGGUGAAGCGAGUGCUUGCACUCGUGGAUCAGCGGCGAACGGGUGAGUAACACGUGAGUAACCUGCCCAUCACUCUGGGAUAAGCACUGGAAACGGUGUCUAAUACUGGAUACGACCAACCCUUGCAUGGGGUGUUGGUGGAAAGAUUUAUCGGUGAUGGAUGGACUCGCGGCCUAUCAGCUUGUUGGCGGGGUAAUGGCCCACCAAGGCGACGACGGGUAGCCGGCCUGAGAGGGUGACCGGCCACACUGGGACUGAGACACGGCCCAGACUCCUACGGGAGGCAGCAGUGGGGAAUAUUGCACAAUGGGCGAAAGCCUGAUGCAGCGACGCCGCGUGAGGGAUGACGGCCUUCGGGUUGUAAACCUCUUUCAGCAGGGAAGAAGCGGAAGUGACGGUACCUGCAGAAGAAGCACCGGCUAACUACGUG